This is a ribosomal RNA of Cricetulus griseus (Chinese hamster), 120 nucleotides long. Lineage: Eukaryota; Metazoa; Chordata; Mammalia; Rodentia; Cricetidae. The record is from Ensembl.
GUCUAUGGCCAUACCACCCUGAAGGCACCCGAUCUUGUCUGACCUCAGAAGCUCUGCUUGGUCUUGCCUGGUUACUAAUUGGAUGGGAGAUUUUGUUGGUUGAGAGGCUAGCUGAGGAUG